GGUUGUCGAGCUUCCUUUCCCGCACGGCUGGCGAGGGAGGAGGAAGUGCAAAGAGCCGUUGAUCAUGCUGAUGUGGCGGCGGCGGAGCCUGAGGGCCAGUCGCUGGGCUCUGCGAGGUGCAAGAAAGCCUUUGAGUUGAAGAGGUAUGAAGGUCAUCAUGACAGAUGUUAUCCAAAAACUUGUCUGUGAAAUAACUAAAAGGAUCACACAGCAUGUAUUGAGCAUGUAGGUUGCUGUAGAUGAAUGUACUUCGCUAUCAGUGUUUAAAAAGUUUAAAAAUACUUCUGCUUCACUGCCUCAAGUGUGGCAUGCAACAUUUUGGAAAGAAAAUU
Saimiri boliviensis boliviensis (Bolivian squirrel monkey) is the source of this 332-nucleotide long non-coding RNA. RefSeq lists it as uncharacterized. The record is from RefSeq and is a predicted model, not a curated record. Lineage: Eukaryota; Metazoa; Chordata; Mammalia; Primates; Cebidae.